UUUAUCUCACUCCGCAGAUGAAUUUCAACGAGAGAGGACCUCUGAAAGUUUGCUCCUCGUAACGGUCGCGACUUUUUCGCAUCAUCUCAACUAAUGUGCACACAAAGUUGUAAAUUCAUCCUGGCAUCCUCCAUUGGUCUUUUCUGAACUGGCUGCUCUUUCUCCGCCAGCUCAGCGCAUAAUUUCAAACCAUCUUCUCUUCAAAAGGCACUGUACAAGCCACUGCAUCAACACAGGUUUCGCCCGGCGGAGAAUCCCGUCAGGGCCUGGCGAGUCGGCACAUUUACAAGCUCGGAGCGGAGUCCUGAGUACCGAGCGUCACAAAUUGCGUCAAACUGAAAUUGAAUGGAACUGAACAAGAAACAAAGUAGGCGUACGGAACGUGUUGAACUCGAACUGAACCUCGACUUGGAGGAUGCUCUAGCUCCACGCAAGAAUAUCUGGGAAAUGGCAGCCUGUCAUAUCUGGAUGAGAGUGGUCAGAUGAAGAGGCUCCAGGCUUCUUGGUGAGGCCCCAUUGCUGCUAGGAGGAGGACGCAGGGAGGAGAACCUACGGAGGACUGUGGACACGAUUCUUUAUGAAGAGAAAACCCCACAGGAUAAUCGGGCAAGAAACUUCAUUAUUACUAAUUUAAAAGAUAUUUCAAGAGAUGAAAUGAAUAAGACUUAAGGGUUUGCAUAGUGGACAUUAAUGGGAGGAUUGUCGUAUAUAGCACCAUGUGAAUGGUGUCUCUUAGCUUAGUGAAUUGUGUGGUUCUGAGAAGAACCAGUUAAAAACAGAUAAAAUGGACUUCAGCGGCUUGCGUCUGGAACAAGGUCAGACGCCAAGAACACUGUCAGAAUGAAAAGGCUUGAUGCCUUAUAAAUCUUAUUAUUGAACCAUCAAUGAUAUUCCAAGUUAUACAAUUCAGUGAAGACGAACUGCAAUGAACAUUAGUCACACUACUUGGAAUAUGAUCCAUCAGCCUUAUAAUAAGGUUUAUCAUAAGUCAAUAGUAAAACAGGACUGUUUAUACGACUUAUUCCAUGAGGAAUACAAAGAAGAACUGAGAUGUCACAGUGUCUUAAUUCAGUGAAGAUGAACUGCAAUGAA
This is a long non-coding RNA of Patiria miniata (bat star), 1092 nucleotides long. RefSeq lists it as uncharacterized. The transcript has 2 exons. Lineage: Eukaryota; Metazoa; Echinodermata; Asteroidea; Valvatida; Asterinidae. The record is from RefSeq and is a predicted model, not a curated record.